GGGGGUGUCACGGUUUCGACGGGGUAUGGAAAGGCUUUUGGAGGCGUCCCGGUAUCGCACCACCGUAAUAGGGCGGAACUUUAUAAUUGCCAACGACGAGCAUUACGCUCCGGUGAUGGCAGCGGCCUAAAACCGCUGUUUGAUCGGGGUCCAGGCCUGGGCCCGGCAACAUAAGUCUGUACGACAGGGUCGAGCCGGAGAGUGAAGGCCGGUUAAAAUCCAGGGUCACCCAGUGUUCCGAGGUAACGGAGGCGGCGGGUUCAGCCGGUCUGAAACGGAUCCGCCGCAUAUGACCGGCAAAAUGGGCGUACAUCUUCCGAGUUGAAUACAUGUUUCGGACGCGGGUUCGACUCCCGCCACCUCCACCA
This 368-nucleotide transfer-messenger RNA is filed under the name Magnetococcales. RNAcentral describes it as "UBA8363 sp015228925 Standard tmRNA". It matches the Rfam family "transfer-messenger RNA". Rfam says of the family: Bacterial tmRNA, also known as 10Sa RNA or SsrA, is named for its dual tRNA and mRNA-like properties. Its role is to liberate the mRNA from a stalled ribosome. To accomplish this part of the tmRNA is used as a reading frame that ends in a translation stop signal. RNAcentral also lists the same sequence under 1 other name. Lineage: Bacteria; Pseudomonadati; Pseudomonadota; Magnetococcia. The record is from RNAcentral.